GUAGUAUAUUUAGCACAUACACUAAAAUUGGAAGAUGCAAAGAAGGUUAACAGGGCUCUUGGGCAAGGAUGACACACACAUUUGUUAAGUGCUCCAUAGUUUG
Molecule: small nuclear RNA, 103 nt
Organism: Ochotona princeps (American pika)
Lineage: Eukaryota; Metazoa; Chordata; Mammalia; Lagomorpha; Ochotonidae
Source: RefSeq, a predicted model, not a curated record